Molecule: small RNA, 540 nt
Filed under: Pongo abelii (Sumatran orangutan)
Lineage: Eukaryota; Metazoa; Chordata; Mammalia; Primates; Hominidae
Description: retained intron
Source: RNAcentral
GUUGGCCGCGGAGACUGCGACCCUCUUCUCUCAGUCUUCUUUAUUACCAUGCCGCUCUACGAGGGCCUGGGGAGCGGCGGGGAGAAGACGGCGGUAGUGAUCGACCUGGGAGAGGCCUUUACCAAGUGUGGAUUUGCUGGAGAAACUGGUCCAAGAUGUAUAAUUCCUAGUGUGAUAAAAAGAGCUGGGAUGCCUAAGCCUAUCAGAGUUGUUCAGUAUAAUAUCAAUACAGAAGAAUUAUAUUCCUACCUAAAGGAAUUCAUCCACAUACUAUAUUUCAGGCAUCUAUUGGUGAAUCCCAGAGACCGCCGAGUUGUGAUUAUUGAAUCGGUAUUAUGUCCUUCUCACUUCAGAGAGACGCUCACUCGUGUUCUUUUCAAAUAUUUUGAGGUACCUGUCUUUAUAUCAAAUAAGUAAAUUGCUUUUGAAAUAAAAAGAGAAGCAAUAAAAUUCUUACCAAUAUUUAGGGAAUCUUUCUUCUCUUUUUUUUUGUUGGUAGGUACUCAAAACUUAAACUAAUAAAAGCCCUUAUUUUGUCUC